RNAcentral lists this ribosomal RNA (122 nucleotides) under Ilyonectria sp. RNAcentral describes it as "partial large subunit ribosomal RNA". Lineage: Eukaryota; Fungi; Ascomycota; Sordariomycetes; Hypocreales; Nectriaceae. The record is from RNAcentral.
CGGCAACAGCUCAAAUUUGAAAUCUGGCCCUCGGGUCCGAAUUGGAAUUUGUAGAGGAUGCUUUUGGUGAGGUACCUUCCGAGUUCCCUGGAACGGGACGCCAUAGAGGGUGAGAAUCCCGU